RNAcentral lists this transfer RNA (117 nucleotides) under Botrytis cinerea. Its description in RNAcentral is "tRNA-Leu". It matches the Rfam family "tRNA". Rfam says of the family: Transfer RNA (tRNA) molecules are approximately 80 nucleotides in length. Their secondary structure includes four short double-helical elements and three loops (D, anti-codon, and T loops). Further hydrogen bonds mediate the characteristic L-shaped molecular structure. tRNAs have two regions of fundamental functional importance: the anti-codon, which is responsible for specific mRNA codon recognition, and the 3' end, to which the tRNAs corresponding amino acid is attached (by aminoacyl-tRNA synthetases). tRNAs cope with the degeneracy of the genetic code in two manners: having more than one tRNA (with a specific anti-codon) for a particular amino acid; and 'wobble' base-pairing, i.e. permitting non-standard base-pairing at the 3rd anti-codon position. The record is from RNAcentral. RNAcentral also lists the same sequence under 2 other names. Lineage: Eukaryota; Fungi; Ascomycota; Leotiomycetes; Helotiales; Sclerotiniaceae.
GGUGAGAUGGCCGAGUUGGUCUAAGGCGCCAGGUUAAGGUCAAGCUUAACACAAGAUAAGAUUGUUUCUAAUCUCCUGGUCUAGUAAUAGGCGUGGGUUCGAAUCCCACUCUCAUCA